This is a long non-coding RNA of Homo sapiens (human), 893 nucleotides long. RefSeq lists it as uncharacterized. The transcript has 3 exons. The record is from RefSeq and is a predicted model, not a curated record. NCBI's taxonomy places the organism in Eukaryota, Metazoa, Chordata, Mammalia, Primates, Hominidae.
UCCAUGCCUGCUCCUGGAAUACCUGCUCCUAAAACCCAAAGUGUGUUCCCUAAAAAUUCUUAGUAAUGUUUUAAACCCAGCUCAAAUAUAUCUCUGUAAAGCCUUCUCUGCCAUGAUCCCCCUUUCUCUCUCUGUACUAAUCACCUCCACAUUUGUUUUUCCAUAGCCUCCUGAUGGCUGUCCUUGUCAACUGUGAACCCAUCAAAGGACAUCUAAAAUUCAACAUGGGACAGUGUAACAGAUUAAUUCAACACCCUCUCCACAAUCCCCUCAAAGAUGAAUGCAUAUUUUCUUCCUGUAGCAGCCCUCCAUCCUGAUUUAUUUCCAAGCUGGAGUGUGACCGGUAGUUGGACCAGGAGUUUCACAGCAUUGGCUUCCUUGGUUCUCAGACCUUCUGACUUGCACUGAGCCACACUACUGGCUUCCCUGGUUCUCCAGCUUGCAGACACCCUACCUGGGACUUCUCAGCCUCCACAGUGCAGUGAACCAAAUCCCCUACUGAAAACCCUUCAUUGGCUUCCUAAGUCCUCCAGGAGAGAGUCACAAAUCCUUCACCCAGCAGCCAGAGCCUUCCACUCUCCAAUCCUGUCCAGUCGCUACCCUUUCCUCUCAGCGCUGCUUCGCUCUCACUUGACCACCCAGCAAGAGCACAGGAUUUCCUGUGUCCUCCAGCCAUGUAAUUACUUCUCCACUUUCAUUGCCUGGUGAGGGCUGGUUAUGCUUUAAAAAUAUGUGCUACCUGGCUGGGGGCAGUGGCUCACCCCUGUAAUCCCAGCACUUUGGGAGGCCGAGGUGGGUGGAUCACGAGUUCAGGAGUUCAAGACCCGUCUGGCCACGAUGGUGAAACCCUGUCUCUACGAAAAAUACAAAAAAUAGGCAGGGUGGUGGGCGCC